RNAcentral lists this ribosomal RNA (497 nucleotides) under uncultured bacterium. RNAcentral's name for it is "partial 16S ribosomal RNA". It matches the Rfam family "Bacterial small subunit ribosomal RNA", at positions 28 to 507 of the family's 1533-position model. The record is from RNAcentral.
GAUGAACGCUGGCGGCGUGCCUAAUACAUGCAAGUCGAGCGAACGGACGAGAAGCUUGCUUCUCUGAUGUUAGCGGCGGACGGGUGAGUAACACGUGGAUAACCUACCUAUAAGACUGGGAUAACUUCGGGAAACCGGAGCUAAUACCGGAUAAUAUUUUGAACCGCAUGGUUCAAAAGUGAAAGACGGUCUUGCUGUCACUUAUAGAUGGAUCCGCGCUGCAUUAGCUAGUUGGUAAGGUAACGGCUUACCAAGGCAACGAUGCAUAGCCGACCUGAGAGGGUGAUCGGCCACACUGGAACGGAGACACGGUCCAGACUCCUACGGGAGGCAGCAGUAGGGAAUCUUCCGCAAUGGGCGAAAGCCUGAUGGAGCAACGCCGCGUGAGUGAUGAAGGUCUUCGGAGCGUAAAACUCUGUUAUUAGGGAAGAACAUAUGUGUAAGUAACUGUGCACAUCUUGACGGUACCUAAUCAGAAAGCCACGGCUAACUACGUG